GAUGAACGCUGGCGGCGUGCCUAAUACAUGCAAGUCGAGCGAACAGAUGAGGAGCUUGCUCCUCUGACGUUAGCGGCGGACGGGUGAGUAACACGUGGAUAACCUACCUAUAAGACUGGGAUAACUUCGGGAAACCGGAGCUAAUACCGGAUAAUAUAUUGAACCGCAUGGUUCAAUAGUGAAAGACGGUUUUGCUGUCACUUAUAGAUGGAUCCGCGCCGCAUUAGCUAGUUGGUAAGGUAACGGCUUACCAAGGCAACGAUGCGUAGCCGACCUGAGAGGGUGAUCAGCCACACUGGAACUGAGACACGGUCCAGACUCCUACGGGAGGCAGCAGUAGGGAAUCUUCGGCAAUGGGCGAAAGCCUGACGGAGCAACGCCGCGUGAGUGAUGAAGGUCUUCGGAUCGUAAAACUCUGUUAGUAGGGAAGAACAAAUGUGUAAGUAACUAUGCACGUCUUGACGGUACCUAAUCAGAAAGCCACGGCUAACUACGUG
RNAcentral lists this ribosomal RNA (497 nucleotides) under uncultured bacterium. RNAcentral's name for it is "partial 16S ribosomal RNA". It matches the Rfam family "Bacterial small subunit ribosomal RNA", at positions 28 to 507 of the family's 1533-position model. The record is from RNAcentral.